This 500-nucleotide ribosomal RNA is filed under the name uncultured bacterium. RNAcentral's name for it is "partial 16S ribosomal RNA". It matches the Rfam family "Bacterial small subunit ribosomal RNA", at positions 30 to 523 of the family's 1533-position model. The record is from RNAcentral.
AUUGAACGCUGGCGGCAUGCUUUACACAUGCAAGUCGAACGGCAGCAUGGGCUUCGGCCUGAUGGCGAGUGGCGAACGGGUGAGUAAUACAUCGGAACAUGCCUAGUUGUGGGGGACAACUACUCGAAAGAGUAGCUAAUACCGCAUAAGAUCUACGGAUGAAAGCAGGGGACCUUCGGGCCUUGCGCAACUAGAGUGGCCGAUGGCAGAUUAGGUAGUUGGUGAGGUAAAGGCUCACCAAGCCUGCGAUCUGUAGCUGGUCUGAGAGGACGACCAGCCAAACUGGGACGGGGACACGGCCCAGACUCCGACGGGAGGCAGCAGUGGGGAAUUUUGGACAAUGGGCGAAGGACUGAUCCAGCAAUGCCGCGUGCAGGACGAAGGCCUUCGGGUUGUAAACUGCUUUUGUACAGAACGAAAAGCUCUGGGUUAAUACCCUGGGGUCAUGACGGUACUGUAAGAAUAAGCACCGGCUAACUACGUGCCAGCAGCCGCCGUAA